This 445-nucleotide ribosomal RNA is filed under the name uncultured bacterium. Its description in RNAcentral is "bacterial SSU rRNA". It matches the Rfam family "Bacterial small subunit ribosomal RNA", at positions 29 to 487 of the family's 1533-position model. The record is from RNAcentral.
AUUGAACGCUGGCGGCGUGCUUAACACAUGCAAGUCGAUCGGUAACAGGUGUAGCAAUACAUGCUGACGAGAGGCGGACGGGUGAGUAAUGCUUGGGAAUCUGCCUAUUAGUGGGGGACAACCCGGGGAAACUCGGGCUAAUACCGCAUACGCUCUACGGAGGAAAGCCGGGGACCGCAAGGCCUGGCGCUAAUAGAUGAGCCCAAGUCGGAUUAGCUAGUUGGUAGGGAACGGCCUACCAAGGCGACAAUCCGUAGCUGGUCUGAGAGGACGACCAGCCACACCGGAACUGAGACACGGUCCGGACUCCUACGGGAGGCAGCAGUGGGGAAUAUUGGACAAUGGGGGCAACCCUGAUCCAGCGACGCCGCGUGGGUGAAGAAGGCCUGCGGGUUGUAAACCUCUUUCAGCUCCGACGAAGCGAGAGUGACGGUAGGAGCAGAAG